AGAGUUUGAUCCUGGCUCAGGACGAACGCUGGCGGUGUGCUUCACACAUGCAAGUCGAGCGAAUGAAGAAGGUAGCUUGCUACUUUUGGAUUUAGCGGCGGACGGGUGAGUAAUAUAUAGGAAUCUGCCCUAGAGCGGGGAACAACAGACCGAAAGGUUUGCUAAUGCCCCAUAGGUACGCAGUCUUCGGAUUGUUUAUUAAAGGAGUAAUCCACUCUAGGAUGAGCCUGUAUCCGAUUAGCUAGUUGGCGGGGUAAAGGCCCACCAAGGCUACGAUCGGUAGUUGGUCUGAGAGGAUGAUCAGCCACAAUGGGACUGAGACACGUCCCAUACUCCUACGGGAGGCAGCAGUGGGGAAUUUUACACAAUGGGGGAAACCCUGAUGUAGCGACACCGCGUGAACGAAGAAGCCUUUUGGGGUGUAAAGUUCUGUCGGCUGGAACGAAAAAAAUGACGGUACCAGCAAAGGAAGCAUCGGCUAACUACGUGCCAGCAGCCGCGGUAAGACGUAGGAUGCAAGCGUUGUCCGGAUUUAUUGGGCGUAAAGAGUUCGUAGGCGGUUAUUUAAGUCUGGUGUUAAAUACUGUGGCCCAACCACAGAACUGCAUUGGAUACUGGAUGACUUGAGUGCGGUAGAGGCGAGUGGAAUUCCCAGUGUAGCGGUGAAAUGCGUA
This 674-nucleotide ribosomal RNA is filed under the name uncultured bacterium. RNAcentral describes it as "bacterial SSU rRNA". It matches the Rfam family "Bacterial small subunit ribosomal RNA", at positions 8 to 692 of the family's 1533-position model. The record is from RNAcentral.